AGAACCUUACCAGGUCUUGACAUCCUCUGACAACCCUAGAGAUAGGGCUUCUCCUUCGGGAGCAGAGUGACAGGUGGUGCAUGGUUGUCGUCAGCUCGUGUCGUGAGAUGUUGGGUUAAGUCCCGCAACGAGCGCAACCCUUGAUCUUAGUUGCCAUCAUUUAGUUGGGCACUCUAAGGUGACUGCCGGUGACAAACCGGAGGAAGGUGGGGAUGACGUCAAAUCAUCAUGCCCCUUAU
RNAcentral lists this ribosomal RNA (239 nucleotides) under Bacillus anthracis (anthrax bacterium). RNAcentral's name for it is "partial 16S ribosomal RNA". It matches the Rfam family "Bacterial small subunit ribosomal RNA", at positions 965 to 1205 of the family's 1533-position model. Lineage: Bacteria; Bacillati; Bacillota; Bacilli; Caryophanales; Bacillaceae. The record is from RNAcentral.